AGUGAACGCUGGCGGUAGGCCUAACACAUGCAAGUCGAACGGCAGCACAGUAAGAGCUUGCUCUUACGGGUGGCGAGUGGCGGACGGGUGAGGAAUACAUCGGAAUCUACUUUUUCGUGGGGGAUAACGUAGGGAAACUUACGCUAAUACCGCAUACGACCUACGGGUGACAGCAGGGGAUCUUCGGACCUUGCGCGAUUGACUGAGCCGAUGUCGGAUUAGCUAGUUGGCGGGGUAAAGGCACACCAAGGCGACGAUCCGUAGCUGGUCUGAGAGGAUGAUCAGCCACACUGUAACUGAGCCACGGUCCAGACUCCGACGGGAGGCAGCAUGGGGGAAUAUUGGCCAAUGGGCGCAAUCCUGAUCCAGCCAUACCUGGUGGGUGAAGAAGGCCUUGGGGUUGGAAAGCCCUUGUGUUGAGAAAGAAAAGCAGCAGGUGAAAGCCCCGCUGUUCUGACGGUACCCAAAGAAUAGGCACCGGCUAACUUCGUG
Molecule: ribosomal RNA, 492 nt
Filed under: uncultured bacterium
Lineage: Bacteria
Description: partial 16S ribosomal RNA
Rfam family: Bacterial small subunit ribosomal RNA
Source: RNAcentral